UACGUAGGGACCAAGCGUUGUUCGGAUUUACUGGGCGUAAAGGGCGCGUAGGCGGCUUAACAAGUCACUUGUGAAAUCUCCGGGCUUAACUCGGAACGGCCAAGUGAAACUGUCAAGCUAGAGUGCAGAAGGGGCAACUGGAAUUCUCGGUGUAGCGGUGAAAUGCGUAGAUAUCGAGAGGAACACCUGCGGCGAAGGCGGGUUGCUGGGCUGACACUGACGCUGAUGCGCGAAAGCCAGGGGAGCGAACGGG
This 253-nucleotide ribosomal RNA is filed under the name uncultured bacterium. RNAcentral describes it as "partial 16S ribosomal RNA". It matches the Rfam family "Bacterial small subunit ribosomal RNA", at positions 524 to 776 of the family's 1533-position model. The record is from RNAcentral.